AUGAACGCUGGCGGCGUGCCUAAUACAUGCAAGUCGAGCGAACAGAUAAGGAGCUUGCUCCUUUGACGUUAGCGGCGGACGGGUGAGUAACACGUGGGUAACCUACCUAUAAGACUGGGAUAACUUCGGGAAACCGGAGCUAAUACCGGAUAACAUUUGGAACCGCAUGGUUCUAAAGUGAAAGAUGGUUUUGCUAUCACUUAUAGAUGGACCCGCGCCGUAUUAGCUAGUUGGUAAGGUAACGGCUUACCAAGGCAACGAUACGUAGCCGACCUGAGAGGGUGAUCGGCCACACUGGAACUGAGACACGGUCCAGACUCCUACGGGAGGCAGCAGUAGGGAAUCUUCCGCAAAGGGCGAAAGCCUGACGGAGCAACGCCGCGUGAGUGAUGAAGGGUUUCGGCUCGUAAAACUCUGUUAUUAGGGAAGAACAAAUGUGUAAGUAACUGUGCACGUCUUGACGGUACCUAAUCAGAAAGCCACGGCUAACUACGUG
This 496-nucleotide ribosomal RNA is filed under the name uncultured bacterium. RNAcentral's name for it is "partial 16S ribosomal RNA". It matches the Rfam family "Bacterial small subunit ribosomal RNA", at positions 29 to 507 of the family's 1533-position model. The record is from RNAcentral.